Non-coding RNA from Myotisia sp. PD_48, 108 nucleotides. The record is from the annotation of a GenBank genome assembly. NCBI's taxonomy places the organism in Eukaryota, Fungi, Ascomycota, Eurotiomycetes, Onygenales.
GCUUCCGUGGUGUAGUUGGUUAUCACGUCAGUCUCAUAUCUUCAUAUGAGGAACAAGACAACUGUUCCAGUUAUCUGAAGGUCGCCAGUUCGAUCCUGGCCGGGAGCA